Molecule: ribosomal RNA, 477 nt
Filed under: Didymella pinodella
Lineage: Eukaryota; Fungi; Ascomycota; Dothideomycetes; Pleosporales; Didymellaceae
Description: eukaryotic LSU rRNA
Rfam family: 5.8S ribosomal RNA (bases 118-271)
Source: RNAcentral
GCUAUCUCUUACCCAUGUCUUUUGAGUACCUUCGUUUCCUCGGCGGGUCCGCCCGCCGAUUGGACAAUUUAAACCAUUUGCAGUUGCAAUCAGCGUCUGAAAAAACUUAAUAGUUACAACUUUCAACAACGGAUCUCUUGGUUCUGGCAUCGAUGAAGAACGCAGCGAAAUGCGAUAAGUAGUGUGAAUUGCAGAAUUCAGUGAAUCAUCGAAUCUUUGAACGCACAUUGCGCCCCUUGGUAUUCCAUGGGGCAUGCCUGUUCGAGCGUCAUUUGUACCUUCAAGCUCUGCUUGGUGUUGGGUGUUUGUCUCGCCUCUGCGCGCAGACUCGCCUCAAAACAAUUGGCAGCCGGCGUAUUGAUUUCGGAGCGCAGUACAUCUCGCGCUUUGCACUCAUAACGACGACGUCCAAAAGUACAUUUUUACACUCUUGACCUCGGAUCAGGUAGGGAUACCCGCUGAACUUAAGCAUAUCAA